AUUGAACGCUGGCGGCAGGCCUAACACAUGCAAGUCGAGCGGAUGAAGGGAGCUUGCUCCUGGAUUCAGCGGCGGACGGGUGAGUAAUGCCUAGGAAUCUGCCUGGUAGUGGGGGAUAACGUCCGGAAACGGGCGCUAAUACCGCAUACGUCCUGAGGGAGAAAGUGGGGGAUCUUCGGACCUCACGCUAUCAGAUGAGCCUAGGUCGGAUUAGCUAGUUGGUGGGGUAAAGGCCUACCAAGGCGACGAUCCGUAACUGGUCUGAGAGGAUGAUGAGUCACACUGGAACUGAGACACGGUCCAGACUCCUACGGGAGGCAGCAGUGGGGAAUAUUGGACAAUGGGCGAAAGCCUGAUCCAGCCAUGCCGCGUGUGUGAAGAGGGUCUUCGGAUUGUAAAGCACUUUAAGUUGGGAGGAAGGGCAGUAAGUUAAUACCUUGCUGUUUUGACGUUACCAACAGAAUAAGCACCGGCUAACUUCGUG
Molecule: ribosomal RNA, 484 nt
Filed under: uncultured bacterium
Lineage: Bacteria
Description: partial 16S ribosomal RNA
Rfam family: Bacterial small subunit ribosomal RNA
Source: RNAcentral